AGGCCCAAGCACUAGUUAUCAACAUUGAUUUCGAGCCAGCUGCAGUCAUAUUAGGAGGCGAGGGUGAGCACAUAACAUCCCAGAUUUGCACGUCUCCUUCUGUAUUUAUAUAUUGACUUGUCUUUUUCUUUUUGAGACAGUUUUGUUUCUGUGGUUCACUUUUGGGAUUUGUACUCAUUUUGUUAGUAGCUCGGUACUUGUGACUUCCAGGUUCUGGGAAGGAUCGUUUAUUUGUAUAUAAUUUUGUCUUGCUUCCGCC
RNAcentral lists this long non-coding RNA (259 nucleotides) under Solanum tuberosum (potato). Its description in RNAcentral is "long non-coding RNA (STUB_LNC009696)". The record is from RNAcentral. Lineage: Eukaryota; Viridiplantae; Streptophyta; Magnoliopsida; Solanales; Solanaceae.